UAAAUUAUCUAAUUAAACAUACAACAAAAUCCCAAUUGUACAUUUCUCAAAAAAAAUUCCAAUUGUACAUCAUCGAGCUUUUGGGUCACUGUACUUGGUAACAAAAAUAGCCAAAAAGAAGAAGAGAAAACAGAGCAUAAACAUAUGGGAAUCAUUUUCCCGGAAAAUCCAAGAAAAUCAAAUCCCACACUUGUUUUAAUGAUUAAUGAAUAUCAUAUUCGAGUUAUUUUCAUGGCGUUUCUUCAAUUCAAUCCUCUCCUUCUUCCUCCAACAUCAUCUCUUGGUAUCGACAUUCAUGGCUGCAAAAUGCCUUUUCACCUCUGUA
Molecule: unclassified non-coding RNA, 325 nt
Filed under: Hevea brasiliensis (rubber tree)
Lineage: Eukaryota; Viridiplantae; Streptophyta; Magnoliopsida; Malpighiales; Euphorbiaceae
Source: RNAcentral